Ipomoea nil (Japanese morning glory) is the source of this 101-nucleotide long non-coding RNA. RefSeq lists it as uncharacterized. The record is from RefSeq and is a predicted model, not a curated record. Lineage: Eukaryota; Viridiplantae; Streptophyta; Magnoliopsida; Solanales; Convolvulaceae. The transcript is spliced from 3 exons.
UCCUUUUUAGAAAUAAAGUUUUUGAUCGGCAUACGAACCAAGCCGAAGGAUCCCUUAACUGUAUAAAGGGCUAUUAAAACGAUUCAUACUUUUAACACUAU